CAGGCUCUCUCUGAUAGGACAACUUUGAUUGCCUUCCUAGAGCACUCUGAGGAAGUGGAGGAAAAGCAACAAUAUUGCAGGUUUCCCAUUUCUGAAGACCUGAGCCCCACGAUACAGUGAUAAGCUCUCCACACUCUGAAUGGAGACCUCAUCCCGUGGCCUAAUUCUGAGAGAGAACAAUCCCUUAGAUAUAGAUAUCCUUCUACAAUCUCACACCACAAAAUCUACCAGCCUUUCCGCCUGCCCCACUGCACAGGCUGACUUUUCACUUCUGCAGGAGAUCCCAGACCUCCACGAAAAAGAAGAAAGAAAAAGAGGAGUAAAGGAAAGAAGAAAGAUGAGGAAACUGAGGUACUGAGGAAUUACUGACCACCAAGAGUUGAGCAGAGACAAAGGAUUCCCUACAUGUUCAAGAGGGCCUGCUGAUACCUGGACUGGGGAUUUCUAGCCUGCAGACUGAGAAUAAAUUUCAGUUAUCUUAAGACAA
This is a long non-coding RNA of Cavia porcellus (domestic guinea pig), 487 nucleotides long. RefSeq lists it as uncharacterized. The record is from RefSeq and is a predicted model, not a curated record. Lineage: Eukaryota; Metazoa; Chordata; Mammalia; Rodentia; Caviidae. The transcript has 4 exons.